Molecule: ribosomal RNA, 670 nt
Filed under: uncultured bacterium
Lineage: Bacteria
Description: bacterial SSU rRNA
Rfam family: Bacterial small subunit ribosomal RNA
Source: RNAcentral
AGAGUUUGAUCAUGGCUCAGAUUGAACGCUGGCGGCAGGCCUAACACAUGCAAGUCGAGCGGUAGCACAGAGAGCUUGCUCUCGGGUGACGAGCGGCGGACGGGUGAGUAAUGUCUGGGAAACUGCCUAAUGGAGGGGGAUAACUACUGGAAACGGUAGCUAAUACCGCAUAAUGUCGCAAGACCUAAGUGGGGGACCUUCGGGCCUCAUGCCAUCAGAUGUGCCCAGAUGGGAUUAGCUAGUAGGUGGGGUAACGGCUCACCUAGGCGACGAUCCCUAGCUGGUCUGAGAGGAUGACCAGCCACACUGGAACUGAGACACGGUCCAGACUCCUACGGGAGGCAGCAGUGGGGAAUAUUGCACAAUGGGCGCAAGCCUGAUGCGGCCAUGCCGCGUGUGUGAAGAAGGCCUUCGGGUUGUAAAGCACUUUCAGCGGGGAGGAAGGCGGUGAGGUUAAUAACCUCAUCGAUUGACGUUACCCGCAGAAGAAGCACCGGCUAACUCCGUGCCAGCAGCCGCGGUAAUACGGAGGGUGCAAGCGUUAAUCGGAAUUACUGGGCGUAAAGCGCACGCAGGCGGUCUGUCAAGUCGGAUGUGAAAUCCCCGGGCUCAACCUGGGAACUGCAUUCGAAACUGGCAGGCUAGAGUCCUGUAGAGGGGGGUAGAAUUC